ACAGGCUGGCUCCCCCUCCUGUCAGGGCCCUGAUUGGGCCGGACAGGAGGCGCAGGAGAGGCCCGGGGCUUCUAAAGGACACCAACAGGUGGGAGGCCCGCUUCAGAGGGGGGGCCCCCCACUCCUGGUGGGGCUAGAAAAGGCCAGUCUGCAUGGCCGGUUGUGGUCACAAGCCACCGGCCAGCUCCUGAGGAGAGUUGAUCCUUGAAGUGGAGAGAGUGUGUUUAAGUUAGCUUUCUUUAAAGCGUAGCUUUAGAUGAGUUCAGUGGAUAGAAGGCAAAGGUCAAGGACAAGGGCUCAGGUCAGCCCUGACGGCGAAUCAACAGACUGCCAGCACACGAGCCCUGGUUUCCAUUUCCUCCCUUUCCUUUCCCCUCCUGUUCUUUUUGCAUGCUCGCUCUUCUCUCGCUCUCCUCCUCCUCCUCUCUUGCUCUGCCUCUUGCAGCCGAAGCGACACACCUUGCUGUGGCUGGUCAAACGGAACCAAGUCAGGUGUUUCAGUGAGGUUUGGUCCCCUUCAACCAGCUACUGCGUCGUGAACUCUUUCAGCGUGGAAUCACCCGUGAUGCAGUGCUGCUCGCUCUUGGAUGUGGUGAUUCCCUAAGAGUUACGUGUGGACUCUCAUGUCCUCACUUGUUUGGUUGAUCUUAAAGUUGUUUGUGUUUGAAUAAAUAAAUGAAAGUUUUUUGAUGAUG
Molecule: long non-coding RNA, 695 nt
Organism: Austrofundulus limnaeus
Lineage: Eukaryota; Metazoa; Chordata; Actinopteri; Cyprinodontiformes; Rivulidae
Exons: 2
Source: RefSeq, a predicted model, not a curated record